UGGGGAAUUUUGGACAAUGGGCGAAAGCCUGAUCCAGCAAUGCCGCGUGUGUGAAGAAGGCCUUCGGGUUGUAAAGCACUUUUGUCCGGAAAGAAAUCCUUGGCUCUAAUACAGUCGGGGGAUGACGGUACCGGAAGAAUAAGCACCGGCUAACUACGUGCCAGCAGCCGCGGUAAUACGUAGGGUGCAAGCGUUAAUCGGAAUUACUGGGCGUAAAGCGUGCGCAGGCGGUUUGCUAAGACCGGUGUGAAAUCCCCGGGCUCAACCUGGGAACUGCAUUGGUGACUGGCAGGCUAGAGUAUGGCAGAGGGGGGUAGAAUUCCACGUGUAGCAGUGAAAUGCGUAGAGAUGUGGAGGAAUACCGAUGGCGAAGGCAGCCCCCUGGGCCAAUACUGACGCUCAUGCACGAAAGCGUGGGGAGCAAACAGGAUUAGAUACCCUGGUAGUCCACGCCCUAAACGAUGUCAACUAGUUGUUGGGGAUUCAUUUCCUUAGUAACGUAGCUAACGCGUGAAGUUGACCGCCUGGGGAGUACGGUCGCAAGAUUAAAACUCAAAUGAAUUGAC
Molecule: ribosomal RNA, 566 nt
Filed under: uncultured bacterium
Lineage: Bacteria
Description: partial 16S ribosomal RNA
Rfam family: Bacterial small subunit ribosomal RNA
Source: RNAcentral